AAGUCGUAACAAGGUCUCCGUUGGUGAACCAGCGGAGGGAUCAUUACCGAGUUUACAAACUCCCAAACCCUUUGUGAACCUUACCAUAACGUUGCUUCGGCGGGACCGCCCCGGCGCCCUCGCGGCCCGGACCCAGGCGCCCGCCGGAGACCCCAAACUCUAUGUUUUACUGUACAUCUCCUCUGAGUGACACAUAAACAAUAAAUAAAAACUUUCAACAACGGAUCUCUUGGUUCUG
RNAcentral lists this unclassified non-coding RNA (238 nucleotides) under Myrothecium gramineum. Its description in RNAcentral is "partial internal transcribed spacer region". The stretch from base 1 to 46 matches the Rfam family "Eukaryotic small subunit ribosomal RNA", at positions 1786 to 1831 of the family's 1831-position model. The record is from RNAcentral. Lineage: Eukaryota; Fungi; Ascomycota; Sordariomycetes; Hypocreales; Stachybotryaceae. RNAcentral also lists the same sequence under 1 other name.